Molecule: ribosomal RNA, 301 nt
Filed under: uncultured bacterium
Lineage: Bacteria
Description: partial 16S ribosomal RNA
Rfam family: Bacterial small subunit ribosomal RNA
Source: RNAcentral
CAGCAGCCACGGUAACACGUAGGUGGCAAGCGUUGUCCGGAAUUAUUGGGCGUAAAGGGCUCGCAGGCGGUUUCUUAAGUCUGAUGUGAAAGCCCCCGGCUCAACCGGGGAGGGUCAUUGGAAACUGGGAAACUUGAGUGCAGAAGAGGAGAGUGGAAUUCCACGUGUAGCGGUGAAAUGCGUAGAGAUGUGGAGGAACACCAGUGGCGAAGGCGACUCUCUGGUCUGUAACUGACGCUGAGGAGCGAAAGCGUGGGGAGCGAACAGGAUUAGAUACCCGAGUAGUCCCUGUCUCUUAUAA